RNAcentral lists this ribosomal RNA (507 nucleotides) under uncultured Glomus. RNAcentral describes it as "SSU rRNA". It matches the Rfam family "Eukaryotic small subunit ribosomal RNA", at positions 569 to 1078 of the family's 1831-position model. The record is from RNAcentral. Lineage: Eukaryota; Fungi; Glomeromycota; Glomeromycetes; Glomerales; Glomeraceae.
AGCAGCCGCGGUAAUUCCAGCUCCAAUAGCGUAUAUUAAAGUUGCUGCAGUUAAAAAGCUCGUAGUUGAAUUUCGGGACUAAUAUGUCGGUCGUGCCUUGGUACGUACUGGUAUUUUUGGUUUCUCCCUUCUGACGAACCUUGAUGUCAUUAAUUUGGUGUCUUGGGAAAUCAGGACUGUUACUUUGAAAAAAUUAGAGUGUUUAAAGCAGGCUCACGCUUGAAUACAUUAGCAUGGAAUAAUGAAAUAGGACGUUUGAUUCUAUUUUGUUGGUUUCUAGGAUCGACGUAAUGAUUAAUAGGGAUAGUUGGGGGCAUUAGUAUUCAAUUGUCAGAGGUGAAAUUCUUGGAUUUAUUGAGGACUAACUACUGCGAAAGCAUUUGCCAAGGAUGUUUUCAUUAAUCAAGAACGAAAGUUAGGGGAUCGAAGACGAUCAGAUACCGUCGUAGUCUUAACCAUAAACUAUGCCGACUAGGGAUCGGAUGAUGUUAAUUUUUUAAUGACUCA